CCUACGGGAGGCAGCAGUGAGGAAUAUUGGUCAAUGGGCGGGAGCCUGAACCAGCCAAGCCGCGUGAGGGAAGGAGGUACAGCGUAUCGUAAACCUCUUUUGUCAGGGAACAAAGGCGGGGACUAGUCCCCGGAUGAGGGUACCUGAAGAAAAAGCAUCGGCUAACUCCGUGCCAGCAGCCGCGGUAAUACGGAGGAUCCGGGGGUUAUCCGGAUUUAUGGGGUUUAAAGGGUGCGCAGGCGGCCUGUUAAGUCAGCGGUAAAAGCCCGGGGCUAAACCCCGGCGAGCCGUUGAAACUGGCGGGCUGGAGUUGGAGAGAAGUACGCGGAAUGUGCGGUGUAGCGGUGAAAUGCUUAGAUAUCGCGCAGAACCCCGAUUGCGAAGGCAGCGUACCGGCUCCACACUGACGCUGAGGCACGAAAGCGUGGGUAUCGAACAGGAUUAGAUACCCCAGUAGUC
This 459-nucleotide ribosomal RNA is filed under the name uncultured bacterium. RNAcentral's name for it is "partial 16S ribosomal RNA". It matches the Rfam family "Bacterial small subunit ribosomal RNA", at positions 338 to 795 of the family's 1533-position model. The record is from RNAcentral.